This is a long non-coding RNA of Mesocricetus auratus (golden hamster), 2357 nucleotides long. RefSeq lists it as uncharacterized. Lineage: Eukaryota; Metazoa; Chordata; Mammalia; Rodentia; Cricetidae. The record is from RefSeq and is a predicted model, not a curated record. The transcript has 2 exons.
UCGAACUCACAGAGAUCCACCUGCCUCUGCCACCCGAAUGCUGGGAUUAAAGGUGUGCGCCCCCACCGCCUGGCCAAUGACUCUUUUCUAAUGGUUAACAAAUGGUGAUUUGUUUUCUCUUCCUCUUCCUUGCCCUUUCUCUCUCAUUUCCCCCUUUUCCCACCUCUCUCUCUCUCUUUCUAGAUGUGACUUCCUCAAGUUACCCAUGUUGCCCUCAGAUGCAUAGACACAGCUUGGUGGUUUUCUAGAUACAUUCUCCCUCUAUAUGUAUUGAAAGAAGCAUUUCCUAUCUCUGCUGUUGUAUCAAAAUGCAUUCAUGAAUUCCCUUUUUUCAUGAGGGUCAUCAUUAACUCAUCCUUUAUUCAUUUAUCUAUUUUAAGGUAUGAGGGAUCAAACCCAGGGCCUCAUGCAUGCUAAGUAAGUGCUCUACCACUGAGCACCACCCACAAACCACUGUCAGUGGUCCCAAGUCAGGACCUCUGAUGAUAGAAAGCGGGAUCCGGGCUGGAGAGAUGGCUCAGAGGUUAAGAGCACUGACUGCUCUUCCAGAGGUCCUGAGUUCAAUUCCCAGCAACCACAUGGUGGCUCACAACCAUCUGUAAUGAGAUCUGGUGCCCUCUUCUGGCAUGCAGACAUACAUGGAAGCAAGAUGUUGUAUUAAUAAAUAAAUAAAUCUUAAAAAAAAAUAGUGAGAGCCAAAUUUGGGAGGAUGCGCCCACAGAUCACCUGACACAAGCCUAUCAGCCGGAAGGGCUCUGAAGCAGUUGUUGAGGGAACAGGGCAACAGCUGUAAGAAGUUAGCUUGUGCUUGGCACACAGCCAGACAGUCAGGGCUGGGGCUUUUCUCCUUUACUGGGUGUGACCAGUCCUGUGAACCGUUCUUAUGUGGUCAGAGCUAGACUUAGUUUUCAGGUAUGUGCCGUUAAUGAGUUAACAGAGGCAUCUGCCAGGGUCCGAGGAUGGACACAGACAGAACUGAACCUGGCCUGGGUGUGCUGGGAAGGAAGCAGAGGGGAAGUCCAAAGGGAGCUGAAGCUGGAAAUUGAGCUGCUCUGAGAGGGAGUGGGAGCCUGGAGGAUGCAGGGAGGUGGGAGGCAGCAGGCAGUGGUGAGGCCCAACUUCCUGAAGAUGGAGAGAAGAUUGCAUAGACUCAGACAGUGGAGGUGUGCUGAGGGUUUUGUUGUUGUUUUUUUUUUUUUUUCUCUUUCUCUCUGUCUUUUUUUUCCUUGUUUGGUAUUUCAAGACAGGGUCUCUCUGUGUAGCCCUGGCUGUUCUGGAAUUUGCUCUGUAGAUCAGGCUGGCCUUGAAUUCACAGAGUUUCAUCGGCCUCUGCUUCCCAAGUGCAGGGUUUAAAGGUGUGCACCACCACCUCCAGGCCUAAGACAGCUUCACGAUAUUACCCUUGCCCCCUCCUCACCCUGCUCCCUGAUUCCCCCCAGACCCGGUGGACUCUCUAGACUCUGGGCAUGACUCCAGUCUAUGCACGAGGACUUAUGAUUUUUGGAUCAAGACUAUUUUUCUUGGGAACUUCUGGGGGAAGUGGGGGUGGUGAGAGUCUGCUUCAGAGUGGCUACCACUCUUUCCUCAGAGGCUAUUUAGGGAGGUGACACCUUCCCUUGGCCUACCACAACUCUUUCAAAGAUUCCCACCUUGCUGCCCCCACAGAUGCUCUACGGAGUUGAGGGAAACCACAGACCAGAAGCCCAGCUGUCUCGCUCAGGAGAAGCUGGUGGUGGAGGGGUUGGAGAAUAAGGUUCCUGCUUUACCAGGACCAAGUGGGACCGGAGUCAGGGUGAAUGUCAGAGGUGUGAAUGUUCCCUUCCCAGCAGGCUUUCUCUAAGUGGGUGCUGAAGAGUAGGUCUCCUCAUCCUUGUCCCCAUUUUUUAACAUUUAUUUAGUAUGUGAGCCUGUGAGGGAUGCGUGUGCAGGCACACUCAUUCGAGUGUGCCACAGCACGAGUGGGGAGGUCAGAGGACAAUUUGAAGGAGUCAGUGCGCUCCUAUCUUGCAGUUCUGGGGAUCGAACUCAGAUCUUCAAGCUCGACUGUGAGCAUCUUGUCUGUCUCUCUUGUCCCCCAUUUUAAGGUGUGAAAACCAAGCAAGUCAUCUCAAGACACCCCUAUGGCACAUUAAGGUCAGAGAGAGACUAGAAUCAAGAUGUGCCUGUUCUACCUUGCUUCCUCUAUUUUUGCCCCGAGUUACUUCUCAACCGGGAAUCUAUGGAAUCCAGAAUUUUCCAAAAUGUUCCCAGGAACUUCAUUCAUGAAAUUGGGUGCAUGCUUCUCUGUCUCUGGCCCCCUCACUCCCUCCCCUCCCCCUCUCUUAGCUUUUUUUAAAAUAAAGAUUUAUUUAAUUUUA